Molecule: unclassified non-coding RNA, 351 nt
Filed under: soil metagenome
Description: partial contains 5.8S ribosomal RNA, internal transcribed spacer 2, and large subunit ribosomal RNA
Rfam family: 5.8S ribosomal RNA (bases 1-121)
Source: RNAcentral
GAUGAAGAAACGUAGUGAAAUGCGAUAAGUAAUGUGAAUUGCAGAAUUCAGUGAAUCAUCGAAUCUUUGAACGCACAUUGCGCCCGCCAGUAUUCUGGCGGGCAUGCCUGUUCGAGCGUCAUUUCAACCCUCAAGCCCAGCUUGGUGUUGGGGAUCGGCACAGGCGCCCUCGGGCGCCCGCCGUCCCCUAAAUCUAGUGGCGGUCCCGCUGCAGCCUCCUCUGCGUAGUAGUUUUCUCCUCGCAAGGGCAGCUCGGUGGCGACCUCGCCGUAAAACCCCCAACUUCUGAAAGGUUGACCUCGAAUCAGGUAGGAAUACCCGCUGAACUUAAGCAUAUCAAUAAGCGGAGGA